GCUUGUGUAGCUUAAACCCAAAGCAUAACCCUGAAGCGGUUAAGAUAAUACUAAAAGUUUUCACAAGCA
Molecule: transfer RNA, 69 nt
Filed under: Austrofundulus limnaeus
Lineage: Eukaryota; Metazoa; Chordata; Actinopteri; Cyprinodontiformes; Rivulidae
Description: tRNA-Phe
Rfam family: tRNA
About the family: Transfer RNA (tRNA) molecules are approximately 80 nucleotides in length.
Source: RNAcentral